UCUUUUAACUCUCUCUCUCUCUACGCGUCUCAUGUUGAACAGGCCCGGGCUCCCCGCUCCCCGUCGAUCAGAUCGGCUCCACCUGGAAUCUUUCCAUCGAUCUGUUCAUCCGGCAGUUGAUCGAGAUAAACCCAGAUGUGGUUACGUGGUGUCAAGGCCACAAACGUUUCUCAAAGAUCCGUCAUCUUCGUCGUAGGGCCCAACGAAUCCCAGUCAAAGGGACAGCUCGAGACUCGCAGAGCUUCACAACUCACCGUAAGCCCUUGGCCUGUGAUCUGCUCAAAUCCGAGUAUCUUGCAGGGCCAUCCGCUGCAGAACCCCUGCAAGUAGGUGAUCCCCCGCUGGUCCGACGGAGCGCAUGCUCUGCAAUCACAAUCGCCGAUCCAAGCGAGGGGGAAGAUCAGAAGAAAGACGGCACCUAGGGUUCGACAUCCCCACCCCACCCCCCAGAGGAAAUACGAACCUGAAAAUAGCCUGGAGACUCUGAAUCUUACCGCCGGGGGGCCUGCCGCGCGCGCUUGAGCUCCUCGUGGCCGCCCCCAUGGGGGCGAUGGCUGCUCUAGGGUUGGGGCUAGGGUUAGGGUUGGGGUUAGCGCUGGAGGAAGAAGAAGCGAGGCUGGGGCAGUUCGCAUCAUUUCUCGUUCACAUCCGGCGCCAUAAUGCCAGCGUAGCCGAGCAGAGUUCCAGUCAGCGGCAAAUGGCGGCGGGCGGCGGGGUCUCUCCGGCGCCGACCAGCAGAGGAGGGAUCUCGGCGGCGUGGCGGCGAUACGGCAGCGUGGCUUUAAUCGCCGCCCUCGUAGGCGGCGGCGGAUAGGGACUGUAUUCUCAAGUGGGCCCAGUUUUUAACACGUGGUUGACUCGCCCUCGUACGGAGAUGCUCACGUGAGGACAAAGCUCUGGAUGGCCCUCCUCGAUAUGGCGCCGCCAAAUAUCGAGGUACAAGGCGUUCCGCACAAACUUCUGUGCGCAUCAAAUCGCAUCUGAGAGAUGAUGGAGCCGCCAGGCGCCCAUGGCAACGUGCAAAUCUACACGCCUCGCACGUGCGUGUUUCCCACACCGGGACACGUGCCGUGGUCUCCUCGCAGAUUCUCUGCUUCUGCGUAUCAACCAAAAAAGACGUCUUAUUUGGUUUUAUACCCCUGUUGGUAGCUCCCCUCGAUCGACGGCAAAAAUGGGAUUGAUAUGCCUUUAUUUUAUGUUUACUAUCAUCCCAGUCGAAAAUUAGUUGAUUUUAAUUACCUUAAUAAAAAAUGCGGGCCGCCCAACGUACAGAAGAUUCUAAAAAAUCGCCCAA
RNAcentral lists this long non-coding RNA (1294 nucleotides) under Spirodela polyrhiza (greater duckweed). RNAcentral describes it as "long non-coding RNA (SPOL_LNC000045)". Lineage: Eukaryota; Viridiplantae; Streptophyta; Magnoliopsida; Alismatales; Araceae. The record is from RNAcentral.